Molecule: ribosomal RNA, 460 nt
Filed under: uncultured Clostridium sp.
Lineage: Bacteria; Bacillati; Bacillota; Clostridia; Eubacteriales; Clostridiaceae
Description: bacterial SSU rRNA
Rfam family: Bacterial small subunit ribosomal RNA
Source: RNAcentral
AGAGUUUGAUCCUGGCUCAGGACGAACGCUGGCGGCGUGCCUAACACAUGCAAGUCGAGCGAUGAAGUUCCUUCGGGAAAUGGAUUAGCGGCGGACGGGUGAGUAACACGUGGGUAACUUGCCUUAUAGUGGGGGAUAGCCUUUCGAAAGGAAGAUUAAUACCGCAUAAGAUUGUAGUAUCGCAUGAUAUAGCAAUUAAAGGAGCAAUCCGCUAUAAGAUGGACCCGCGCCGCAUUAGCUAGUUGGUGAGGUAAUGGCUCACCAAGGCGACGAUGCGUAGCCGACCUGAGAGGGUGAUCGGCCACAUUGGGACUGAGACACGGCCCAGACUCCUACGGGAGGCAGCAGUGGGGAAUAUUGCACAAUGGGCGAAAGCCUGAUGCAGCAACGCCGCGUGAGUGAUGACGGCCUUCGGGUUGUAAAACUCUGUCUUCAGGGACGAUAAUGACGGUACCUGAGG